UAAUUUGCGCAAUGGCAGUAUCGUAGCCAAUGAGGUUUGUCCGAGGCGCGAUUAUUGCUAAUUGAAAAUAAUAAUUUAGCCAAAAUUCCCAAACACAGGUGUUUUAAAUAUCAAUUCAUAUUAAGACAAAUGUU
Leptonychotes weddellii (Weddell seal) is the source of this 134-nucleotide small nuclear RNA. RefSeq annotates it as U4 spliceosomal RNA. Lineage: Eukaryota; Metazoa; Chordata; Mammalia; Carnivora; Phocidae. The record is from RefSeq and is a predicted model, not a curated record.